RNAcentral lists this microRNA precursor (237 nucleotides) under Cajanus cajan (pigeon pea). RNAcentral's name for it is "miRNA gene-KK1_042907". Lineage: Eukaryota; Viridiplantae; Streptophyta; Magnoliopsida; Fabales; Fabaceae. The record is from RNAcentral.
ACGAUCAAACCGUUCAAUUUAAAGUUUUUAAUUCAUAGAUCAAAUCUGUAAAUUUUUAGAAAAUUUAAAAAUCAUUUAAUACUUCGUUUCAUUAAUUCGAAUCAAUGUAUAAAAUGAUUUUAUGAUUAUCCGUCAAUUUGAAUUAAUGAAACGAAGUAUCAAAUGAUUUUCAAAAUUUUUUAAAAUUUGCAAAUUUGAUCUAUGCAUUAAGAAUUUUAAAUUGAAUGAUUGGAUCGU